This 301-nucleotide ribosomal RNA is filed under the name uncultured bacterium. RNAcentral's name for it is "partial 16S ribosomal RNA". It matches the Rfam family "Bacterial small subunit ribosomal RNA", at positions 509 to 807 of the family's 1533-position model. The record is from RNAcentral.
CAGUCGCCACGGGAAUACGGAGGGUGCGAGCGUUAAUCGGAAUAACUGGGCGUAAAGGGCACACAGGCGGUGACUUAAGUGAGGUGUGAAAGCCCCGGGCCUAACCUGGGAAUUGCAUUUCAUACUGGGUCGCUAGAGUACUUUAGGGAGGGGUAGAAUUCCACGUGUAGCGGUGAAAUGCGUAGAGAUGUGGAGGAAUACCGAAGGCGAUGGCAGCCCCUUGGGAAUGUACUGACGCUCAUGUGCGAAAGCGUGGGGAGCAAACAGGAUUAGAUACCCGCGUAGUCCCUGUCUCUUAUAC